CCUACGGGUGGCAGCAGUGGGGAAUAUUGCACAAUGGGCGAAAGCCUGAUGCAGCAACGCCGCGUGAAGGAAGAAGGGUUUCGGCUCGUAAACUUCUAUCAACAGGGACGAAAGAAAUGACGUUCCCGGAUUAAGAAGCCCCGCCUAACUAGGUGCCAGCAGCCGCGGUAUUCCGGAGGGGGCAAGCGUUAUCCGGAUUUACUGGGUUGAAGGGGUGAGUAGGCGGAAUGGUAAGCUAGAUGUGAAAGCCUUGGGCUUAACCCGAGGAUUGCAUUUGGAACUAUCAAGCUAGAGUACAGGAGAGGAAAGCGGAAUUCCUAGUGUAGCGGUGAAAUGCGUAGAUAUUAGGAAGAACACCAGUGGCGAAGGCGGCUUUCUGGACUGAAACUGACGCUGAGGCACGAAAGCGUGGGGAGCGAACAGGAUUAGAUACCCGGGUAGUC
RNAcentral lists this ribosomal RNA (443 nucleotides) under uncultured bacterium. Its description in RNAcentral is "partial 16S ribosomal RNA". It matches the Rfam family "Bacterial small subunit ribosomal RNA", at positions 338 to 795 of the family's 1533-position model. The record is from RNAcentral.